AUGACAGAAGAUCUCCUUGAUGCGACCGAUGCGGAACGGCUCGGGAGCAUCCAGAGUGACUCCAGCGAGUUUGAUGAGGUCUCUCAUGCAGGGAGUGACGAUGAUGGGCUGCUCAUCCGAGUCGCCGGCCUCGUCGUAGCUCUCCACCUGUUCCACCACGAACUGGGCGUGACGCAGCAGAGUGUCUUCAGUGAAGCAGUUGAAGUUCAGUCCUGCAGGAGGGACUGUUGUCUGGAAGACGAAAAACAAGAUUGUCUUUUAGGAUUUGACUUUUGCAAAAAAAAAAAAAAAAGGGAAAUCUUUCAUGGUGAAACGUCAGAGCGCACCUCGAUUUUGUUGAGGAGAUCUUCAUAAGUCACAUCUGGGUUUUUCUGGAGGAAUUCCACCACUAUUUUGCUCAUGUAGAUCUUCUCCUGCAUCAGUGCGAAAAUGGGGGCGUACUCCUCACUGGGCUGCAUCAAGAUGUAAUCCGCAAAAGCUGCACAAAAAGGUUUACAUUAGUGUGCAAACACUGAAAAUGUUUUAAGUGAAAACUAUUUUGUUACCUGUAGUGAAACCAAUUAGAGCUUUUUCUCCUCCGUCAAAACCCGUGAUCCACCAGGCGUUGAUCGGUCCGAGCUUCUUAGCAGGAACUCCACCUGAGACAAAGAGAUUAUUUUUCAUCAAAAGAAAAAAGUUGAAGUAACAAUAAAAUAAAAAGUAUUAAGUAUUAGUGUUUGACAUGAAACAUUUCCUACCAUCCAAGCAAGGAUUGUCAUCAUAGAUGGGUUUAACGGCACAGCUGAAGUAAAGCUCCACGUUCUUCUCAAUCAGUCCGGAAUCAAACGGACACAGAUGGCCGCGCUUAUCAUACACGCUGGAAGGGAAAAAAAUCAUGCUAUUAGCCAUGCAAAAUGUUGGUAGAAAAACAAUUAACGUUCAAACACCUUUAUUAGGUCAACACCAUUUAACAAGAAGAGUAAUACGCCCCCUAGCUGCAGGGGGUAAUAUUUCAACAGAGAAAACUUGGUAACACAAAAUACUAAGUUCUACAGAAAGAAAAAUAUGGUGGUAAAAAUGAAGAGAAAAAAAAUUAAAUUGUAUACCUGAAAUUAGUGAUUCUGUGUUGUGGCAGAUCAUCGUAGCUCUCAAACCCGUCCUCAUUCGAGUCGAACAGGGACAGACGCUCAUCUGUUAACAUCUCAGGUUCGUCGAGCUGAUAAAGGUAAAGAAAACCGAUCAGGAAAAAUAACAUUUUUUUCCCAAUUCAUGAGCUGGAAAUUCUUACAGCAUUAUCAGGAUCUCCUUGGAAGAACUUCAGGUCUGAGUCGUCCAAAAAUUGUCUGCAAUCUUGACAUUUAGGGGGUGGUGUCUAAAAAAAGACAACAAAUAAAUAAAUCAAGUUAAGACAGUUUGCUUUGUGGAAAAACAAAAACAGCAGUUCUUUGUAUUGAAUACCUUUGCAACAGAUACAGGCUUUGCUGUGUCAUUCUUAUUAUCUUCUGCAGCAGGACUACAGUAGGAGAAGAGUAUGUUAGUUUACCCGACAUAAAGGUCAACACAAGAUGAUCAGCAAAAACUAGUUACUUUUCAUCAGACUCCACUUUGAGGCGCUUCUUCUCUUGACACUAAAAUGCAACAAAAAUAAAAAACUCAAUUAUAACAGACAAUGAAGUCCACACCAACUGCAGACAUUGAUGCAUUACCUCAUCAGCAUCCUCCUCUUUCUUCACUUCAUCUUUUCCAUUGACAGUUUCUUCGGCCAUUUCAUCAGACUUGCGCUUCUGACUGCAAAAUAAAAAAUUAUACAUUUAGAUAAUUCCACUUUUUUAAUAUGUAUUUGAGCUUCCAAUAAAAAAAAAACUUAAACUCACACUUUGGAGAACAUUGACAGGAUGGUUGGCUGUUUUCCACUAUUCCUGGUGACUCUGGCACUUGCAGGAGAUUCUAGAAACAAAUGUGUAAAUAGUUAUUCAAAUAAUGCAAUUUUUUAAGAUCCAUGACUUCAUUAUAAAAGGAAACACCGACUUUUUGAAUUCCCAUUGGACUUGACCCUGCGUCCAGCCUUCCCUUUGGAAGCAGGCGGUGAUUUGACAUCAUCUGCACCCAUAGCUUCUUCCUCCAGCUCGUCUUCGUGAGAGCCAUUCGAGAAGCCAUUUGUUUUUCCAACUUGAGCGUCAUCAUCAAGGUGAAGUUCUUUUCCCAACAAGGCCUUAACUUUUGAUAUGUAGACCUCCUAAAAAAAAAAAAAAAAAAAAAAAAAAAAGAAGACGUAAGCAAGCGCCCAAGCAACAGACGUAAUAAUUAUAUUGACAUAGGAGGCUGUAAACAACCUUUGAGAUCUCAGAACUUUUCAUCUCUUUUUCAAGACUGGUCAACUGGGUCUGGGCAUCAUCAUGCAGAAAGUCCUGGACCAACUUCAGCUUCUCUUUGACUUGAUCCUGAAAUAGAAAAAUGCAUUGUUCGGUUUUCAGAUCAAAACAAUCAUCUUAAAGUAAAACUUAAAAAGUUAUGCCAUGACAGUUGAAAAAGACAACUU
Long non-coding RNA from Oryzias javanicus (javanese ricefish), 2518 nucleotides. Lineage: Eukaryota; Metazoa; Chordata; Actinopteri; Beloniformes; Adrianichthyidae. The record is from Ensembl.